This is a non-coding RNA of Odocoileus virginianus texanus, 1325 nucleotides long. The record is from RefSeq and is a predicted model, not a curated record. NCBI's taxonomy places the organism in Eukaryota, Metazoa, Chordata, Mammalia, Artiodactyla, Cervidae.
AUGGGAAUGAUGAUAGUAUUAAUUUUGUUAAGUUUACAAAAGUGAGUCAAUACAUACAAGCAUUUUGAACUGUGCCUGGGAAAUUGUAAAUGCUCAAGAAAUGUCAGUUAUUAUACUUCAUCCAAACUUCUGGGUAAAACUCAAGACCAAUUUAGUUUUAGAGUAAUUUUGACACUUUCUCAGUUCUUUAAAAACAUCUGUUUGCUAUGGCUGCUAUUCUUAUUUUUAAUUUUCUUUGCUCUUCAGUUGCUUGAAAGCUGUUUUGGCAACAUAUCCAAUUAUUAUGAAGCCUUUUUUUCUGGUUUAAAUUUGAAAAUAAUACAGUUCCUGGAGUUUUGUGUUGAAGCAGAAAUUUCAGUAUCAGAUUUGAACAUGAAGAUCUUUCCCCCCUUCCAAAUGGAAGCUAAGGAUAUAUUCUUAAGAAGAUAAGAAGAUUCUUUGCACAAACACAUGUGCAUUUAUAACCUGUGACCUGGGAAGGAAAUGGCAGGGGCAGACUUGACUAGUUCAGACAGAGACUGCAUGGGCCAUAAAGGCUAAAAUAUUUACUCUCUGGCCAGGUAUAGAAGAAGUUUGCCAACCUUUGUUCACGGAGAACAUCAAUGAGGCUAAAUAACAAAGAUUCUUCUUGCUAAGGGAAACAAGAGGCUACCCCAGCCAACCUUAAAACCAGGCAGAAUGAGAGGCCUAGCCUGUGAAUUCUGGUGUAGACUGGCAUAUCAGAGCUUCCCAGAGUCCGUUCAUAGCAGGUCGAUGGGUAAUGCUGGAAAAAAAAAAAAUGAAACCUGCAAAUUCGGACAUAUCUGCUUCCUGAAUUAAUGUUCUCCCAAGCUGUGAACAAGCAGUAGAAGGGACUUCUAGUCUCACCCCUGUCUUGGCUCUUCUGACCUACACCUUUGAGGCAUCUGGCUCAGAACAGAGAGGUUGACAGGACCACAAAUCCUGGAGAGGAGAAGGAAAAGAAGUGAUAGCUUGUAUCCUAAUAGUAGCUUGAAUGUAUAUAGUGUUUGGCAAUUUAGAAAAUUCUUUGAUGAAUGUAAUUUAAUUUCCUAAAAUCCAGAAUCUGAGCUGCAAAGGAACCUUGGGUGUCAUUUAACCCAAAGUUUCUGAACUGGAUUCCCUGCUGCCAUUGUGGGUGUAAUAAUUCUUGGUUUGGGGUGGGGAGGUCUCCUGCAGACUGCAGCAUGUUUCAUAGGAUCUCUGCCCUCUACAUUCCCAACCCCCUACAUGUGACAACCACAAACGUCUCCUGAGAGGCAAAACCGCUCCCUGUUGAGAAUUACUGAUCGAGGCUACCUUGGAGUUAUAAACAGAUUAUACACUUA